GGAUCAAUGGGAACAUGCAGAGAUUAUUGCUGGAGCCCAAUCCCUUCCCCCCAGUGUCUCCACACACAGAGCAGGAACCCCUAAUUCCAGGAUCAAUGGGAACAUGCAGAGAUUAUUGCUGGAGCCCAGUCCCUUCCCCCCAGUGUCUGCACACACAGAGAGCAGGAAUCCCUAAUUCCAGGAUCAAUGGGAACAUGCUGGGAUUAUUGCUGGAGCCCAAUCCCUUCCCCCCAGUGUCUGCACACACAGAGAGCAGGAAUCCCUAAUUCCAGGAUCAAUGGGAACAUGCAGAGAUUAUUGCUGGAGCACAAUCCCUUCCCCCCAGUUUCUGCACAAACAGAGAGCAGGAAGCCCUAAUUCCAGGAUCAAUGGGAACAUGCAGAGAUUAUUGCUGGAGCCCAAUCCCUUCCCCCCAGUGUCUGCACACACAGAGAGCAGGAAGCCCUAAUUCCAGGAUCAAUGGGAACAUGCAGAGAUUAUUGCUGGAGCCCAAUCCCUUCCCCCCAGUUUCUGCACACACAGAGAGCAGGAAGCCCUAAUUCCAGGAUCAAUGGGAACAUGCAGAGAUUAUUGCUGGAGCCCAAUCCCUUCCCCCCAGUGUCUGCACACACAGAGAGCAGGAAUCCCUAAUUCCAGGAACAAUGGGAACAUGCAGAGAUUAUUGCUGGAGCCCAAUCCCUUCCCCCCAGUGUCUGCACACCCAGAGAGCAGGAAUCCCUAAUUUCAGGAUCAAUGGGAACAUGCAGAGAUUAUUGCUGGAGCCCAAUCCCUUCCCCCCAGUGUCUGCACACACAGAGAGCAGGAAUCCCUAAUGCCAGGAUCAAUGGGAACAUGCAGAGAUUAUUGCUGGAGCCCAAUCCCUUCCCCCCAGUGUC
Molecule: non-coding RNA, 875 nt
Organism: Pelobates cultripes (western spadefoot toad)
Lineage: Eukaryota; Metazoa; Chordata; Amphibia; Anura; Pelobatidae
Source: the annotation of a GenBank genome assembly